AAGGGAGACCUAAUUCAGGUAGGAGACGAAAAAAAGUAGUCCCUACCAAGAAUCAAUCCCAAAAGGUCGGAGCGAGGCAAAAUUGGCUUUCAAACUAGGUUCUGGGUUCACACAAGACCUGAAUCAGGAACAAGGGCUAUUAGCUCAGGUGGUUAGAGCGCACCCCUGAUAAGGGUGAGGUCCCUGGUUCGAGUCCAGGAUGGCCCACCUGCACAGGUGGAAGAAAGAAAAGAAGCUCCGAAUCAGCACCUUAUCUUACUUAUAUAGUAAGAGAGAAUGCUGGCUCUGAGUACAGAGUCCAGAGGAACCUUGAAAACUGCAUAGAGCUAGGUGAAAAAGCCAAAAAAGAAGACCGCAAGGUCAAGCUAAUAAGGGCUAACGGUGGAUACCUAGGCAC
RNAcentral lists this transfer RNA (397 nucleotides) under uncultured Microcystis sp. RNAcentral describes it as "bacterial LSU rRNA". The stretch from base 134 to 207 matches the Rfam family "tRNA". The record is from RNAcentral. Lineage: Bacteria; Bacillati; Cyanobacteriota; Cyanophyceae; Chroococcales; Microcystaceae.